This 1479-nucleotide long non-coding RNA is filed under the name Capra hircus (goat). RNAcentral describes it as "lncRNA (ENSCHIG00010022072.1)". Lineage: Eukaryota; Metazoa; Chordata; Mammalia; Artiodactyla; Bovidae. The record is from RNAcentral.
UUGGUCAUAACUUUCCUUCCAAGGAGUAAGCAUCUUUUAAUUUCAUUGCUAAACAACAACUUAGGGAAAUGCUAUCUUUUCUAUUGAAUUUGAGCUUGGAAAGCUGUUAAGAGCAGAGCCAACUGGAAACCAGCUUAUCCCCACCAAGAACCUGAGGAUAAAAUCAACACAGAACAAAACAAAAGCAAGAGAUUUUCAUAGCUAAACGUUGGUGCAGCAGGAGAUACAGCAUAGUAAAUGCAUUACCCCUACCUUCAAUAAGCUUAAGCUAUAUCUGAGAAAACAAUAAUAAGGAUAAGAAUAAUACUCAAGUGAAAGAAGGAAACUGGAAAACUACUCUUUCCCAUUUACACUACAAGGAAUCAAGAAAGAAAGACCAGAGUAUUUGCUUCUUUUCUACUGAGAUAAGCAAGAGCUGCCUAAAAUUGAGAAAGAGAGCUUGAAGGAAUAUAAAUUAUGCAUUCAGGCUUCAUUUGUCUCUCAAUUGUUUCCCUUAUCUUUCACCAUCACAUUCUUAAAUAUUAAUGGGUAAGAAUACUCAUACCCCUCACCUUGCCCUGACUUUACUGCAAACUGUCUUAUAACCAUGUUUUUUUCUGUAGAAAAUGAGAAAUGUUGGCAUACUUAUUUUAAAACAGAUUGACAGGCAACCAAAAGUUAGACUGAGAAAUACUCACAUGAUUGGAGGGCAAUCCAGGGAGAGUGAUGUACGAAAGAUGCUUAAGAAAACUAAAAACCAGGAGGUAGGCAAACUCAGUGAGACUAAAGAAUCGAGAUAGACCUUAAGGGAACUGGAGCAGACCAGAGUAAAAAACACCAGUAUGUAAAAUUAUCCAGGCAUACAGAGAGCAGCUAGAGGAGAGAUUAUAUAUAUAUAAUGCUAAAUAAGGGGAGAAUAUAAAAUGGAAGUUCCAAAGAGAAUUGUUUUGAACUGAAUCUAACUGUAGACCUGAAACCAAAGCACGGAGCUGAAGAUCAGAAAGCCAUAACUGUCUCAUCCUGUAAAAGCCCCAGCACUGUUUCUGUCUGGCUCAGGCUGGAUCUAGUAAUGAGGCCAUCUGCUCAUAAUGCUUGCUCCAUGUGCAGCUUAUGCCCAGAAAUCUACACGCCUUCCAGCAAAGUCAUUUUUACACUGUACUUGACAGACAGAGCAUGUGUUUGUGUUAAAAACACUGCAGGAAAGGGGUACUGGGAGGAUUCAGAAAAGGCUUGACCUUGGAAAAAGACAGUCAUGAACCCUAAGGAGGUAGUAUUAAAAAGCCAGGGGCAGUGGAAAGCGGAAGAACCUACUAGAAGCAAUUCUUUAGACUCACAUCAUUCCACAGUAGGCAGGAACACCUGUUUGGAGUUGCUUUGGGGGAGACAAAGCACAAUGGCCUUGUUCUUUGUUUUUUAAAUGACUUUACAUUCUUCAGUAUUUAGCUAAAAGACAUACAGUCAAAAAUGACUUUGAAAAUAUUAGCGGGGACCCCAUUGCCA